GUUUAAGAACAGAUGAAUAUCAGAAAUACCAUAGCUAUCACAUUUAUCGAUGGGCGAUUAUCUUGCUCGUCUGAUCAAGUAGAAUCGAGAGAAUCAGCUAGGGAUCGUCGCUACGGAUUAAUAUGGACAAGUGAUCCCGUAUGCAUGCGAUAUUCACGUUACGGUUGUUGUUGGCGCUUGCUGUGUCGACCUGCGUCACUCGAAUUUUCACGUUGGCCGAAAGCGCGUUGCGCGUGACAAAGCGAGAGUGCCGAAUAGAUCUCUGUGCGAUCGUGAUGUGUUUUUCGAUAUUCGUGAUUGAUAUCGAUCGCGCUACGUCGUUCAAAGAAUUUGUUUACGAAUGCACGCGUUUCGCGUUAUUCGGGAGUGUACCGAGCAACAUUGAGAGAUCACAGUACUGAAUUAAUGGAGGGAGAAGAUCACUGCUCAUCAAUGAUGUUGAGAUAAACUUUUGUGCUACAUGGUGCUAGUGAAUAUUUGUUCCGCCAUAAUUUCGCAAUGUGAUAAAACGCGUAUCGGGAGUGCGGGAGUGCGGGAGUGCCGUUUAAUGUGAGUCGCGCGAUUUUCGUAUUCGGGCACGCACGUGAGCAAAACGUGCGCCGCGACGCGUGUGAGUGUUAGUGUAAA
Molecule: non-coding RNA, 627 nt
Organism: Linepithema humile (Argentine ant)
Lineage: Eukaryota; Metazoa; Arthropoda; Insecta; Hymenoptera; Formicidae
Source: RefSeq, a predicted model, not a curated record